AUUGGGCGCUGGCGGCAUGCUUUACACAUGCAAGUCGAACGGUAACAGGGUGCUUGCACCGCUGACGAGUGGCGAACGGGUGAGUAAUGCGUCGGAACGUGCCGAGUAGUGGGGGAUAACGCAGCGAAAGUUGUGCUAAUACCGCAUACGUACUGAGGUAGAAAGUGGGGGACCUUCGGGCCUCACGCUAUUCGAGCGGCCGACGUCUGAUUAGCUAGUAGGUGAGGUAAAGGCUCACCUAGGCGACGAUCAGUAGCGGGUCUGAGAGGAUGAUCCGCCACACUGGGACUGAGACACGGCCCAGACUCCUACGGGAGGCAGCAGUGGGGAAUUUUGGACAAUGGGCGAAAGCCUGAUCCAGCCAUGCCGCGUGUCUGAAGAAGGCCUUCGGGUUGUAAAGGACUUUUGUCAGGGAGGAAAUCCCUAGUGCUAAUAACACUGGGGGAUGACAGUACCUGAAGAAUAAGCACCGGCUAACUACGUGCCAGCCGCCGCAGUAA
Molecule: ribosomal RNA, 500 nt
Filed under: uncultured bacterium
Lineage: Bacteria
Description: partial 16S ribosomal RNA
Rfam family: Bacterial small subunit ribosomal RNA
Source: RNAcentral